Molecule: ribosomal RNA, 253 nt
Filed under: uncultured bacterium
Lineage: Bacteria
Description: partial 16S ribosomal RNA
Rfam family: Bacterial small subunit ribosomal RNA
Source: RNAcentral
UACGGAGGGUGCGAGCGUUAAUCGGAAUUACUGGGCGUAAAGCGCACGUAGGCGGUCAGGCAAGUCGGGUGUGAAAUCCCCAGGCUUAACCUGGGAACUGCAUUCGAGACUGCAUUGCUAGAGUAUGGGAGAGGGAAGUGGAAUUUCCGGUGUAGCGGUGAAAUGCGUAGAUAUCGGAAGGAACAUCAGUGGCGAAAGCGACUUCCUGGACCAAUACUGACGCUCAUGUGCGAAAGCGUGGGGAGCAAACAGG